AAUAUUGUUUUUCCAUAUCAAAUAAAACAAGAGAGUGAUCCUGAUCCCAUCAACCUAAUUCUAGAAACAUAGAGGAAACAAGAAAAGGGAAACUAAAGUUGUGUAGGAGUGAAAUUAGAUAGAGAUUCAUCAGUGAAUAGGAAUACAAGAACAAUGCUGCUGAAAAGGAGAAGAAAAAAAAAGCAAGAAACAGUAAGAUAGAUAGAAAAAAAAUGUACAUUCAAGUGGUAGAAUUUCGGAACUAUAUGAAUGUAUGAACACAUGUUUUGGAUCUUCUCGAAUUUUGUUUAUUUGAU
This 296-nucleotide long non-coding RNA is filed under the name Carica papaya (papaya). Its description in RNAcentral is "long non-coding RNA (CPAP_LNC003989)". Lineage: Eukaryota; Viridiplantae; Streptophyta; Magnoliopsida; Brassicales; Caricaceae. The record is from RNAcentral.